This 1664-nucleotide ribosomal RNA is filed under the name termite gut metagenome. RNAcentral's name for it is "bacterial LSU rRNA". It matches the Rfam family "Bacterial large subunit ribosomal RNA", at positions 1227 to 2906 of the family's 2925-position model. The record is from RNAcentral.
GGUAGAGGAGCAAACCGUGAGGACGAAGCGAAAGCGAAAGCGAUCGUGGACGAAACGGAAGAGAGAAUGCCGGAAUGAGUAGCGAGAUAUAUGUGAGAAUCAUAUAGGCCGAAAGUCUGAGGUUUCCUGAGUCAAGCUAAUCUACUCAGGGUAAGUCGGGGCCUAAGGUGAGGGCGAAAGCCGUAGCCGAUGGACAGCAGGUAGAAAUUCCUGCACUACGGAUAUACAGAACUGUGGGGACACAGGAGGCAAACCGGACCGGGGAAAGGAAAAACCCGGCCAAGAGCAAAGCUAUACCGGAAAGGCAAAUCCGUCCGGGAAAGGUGAAGCUUGAUGGGGAGUGAAGAAAAGUAGCGAAGCCGGGGCAGCCAAACUGUCAAGAAAAGCCGCUAUUGUUGUAUCCGUACCCGUACCGCAAACCGACACAGGUAGACGAGGAGAAAAUCCACAGGCCGACGGGAGAAGCGUUGUUAAGGAACUCGGCAAAAUGACCCCGUAACUUAGGGAUAAGGGGAUCCAUCGCAAGGUGGACACAGAGAAGAGGCCCAAGCGACUGUUUAGCAAAAACACAGGUCUCUGCUAAACCGAAAGGUGAAGUAUAGGGGCUGACGCCUGCCCGGUGCUGGAAGGUCAAGAGGAGAGGUUAGACGCAAGUCGAAGCUUUGAAUUUAAGCCCCAGUAAACGGCGGCCGUAACUAUAACGGUCCUAAGGUAGCGAAAUUCCUUGUCAGGUAAGUUCUGACCCGCACGAAAGGCGUAACGAUUUGGGCACUGUCUCGACAACGCGCCCGGUGAAAUUGAAGUAACAGUGAAGAUACUGUUGACCCGCGACAGGACGGAAAGACCCCAUGGAGCUUUACUGCAGCUUAAUAUUGGGAUUCGGUAAGACAUGCACAGGAUAGGUGGGAGGCUGUGAAGCCGGUACUCUGGUAUCGGCGGAGCCAACGUUGGGAUACCACUCUUGUUUUACUGGAUUUCUAACCUGCUCCCAUUACCUGGGAGGGGGACAAUGUUAGGCGGGCAGUUUGACUGGGGCGGUCGCCUCCGAAAGAGUAACGGAGGCGCUCAAAGGUAACCUCAGCAUGAUUGGAAACCAUGCAUAGAGUGUAAAGGCAGAAGGUUGCUUAACUGCGACCUCGACGGAGGGAGCAGGUACGAAAGUAGGACUUAGUGAUCCGGUGGUAAUAAGUGGGAAUGCCAUCGCUCAACGGAUAAAAGCUACCCUGGGGAUAACAGGCUGAUUUCCCCCAAGAGUUCACAUCGACGGGGAAGGUUGGCACCUCGAUGUCGGCUCGUCACAUCCUGGGGCUGGAGAAGGUCCCAAGGGUUGGGCUGUUCGCCCAUUAAAGCGGUACGCGAGCUGGGUUCAGAACGUCGUGAGACAGUUCGGUCCCUAUCCAUCGUGGGCGCUGGAAAUUUGAGAGGGGCUGUCCUUAGUACGAGAGGACCGGGAUGGACGGGCCGCUGGUGUACCUGUUGCAGACCUACUGCACGGCAGGGUAGCCAAGCCCGGAAAGGAUAAACGCUGAAGGCAUCUAAGCGUGAAGCCGCCCUCAAGAUUAGAUUUCCCAUCACUUCUAAGUGAGUAAGGUCCCUGAAAGACUAUCAGGUAGAUAGGCGGGAGGUGUAAGCGCGGUAACGCGUUCAGCUGACCCGUACUAAUU